This 522-nucleotide ribosomal RNA is filed under the name uncultured bacterium. RNAcentral describes it as "bacterial SSU rRNA". It matches the Rfam family "Bacterial small subunit ribosomal RNA", at positions 356 to 896 of the family's 1533-position model. The record is from RNAcentral.
GGGGAAUCUUGCACAAUGGAGGAAACUCUGAUGCAGCGACGCCGCGUGAGUGAUGAAGCCCCUCGGGGUGUAAAGCUCUUUCGACGGGAAAGAUUAUGACGGUACCCGAAGAAGAAGCUGCGGCUAACUACGUGCCAGCAGCCGCGGUAAUACGUAGGCAGCAAGCGUUGUUCGGAAUUACUGGGCGUAAAGAGUGUGUAGGCGGUGCUCUAAGUCUGUUGUGAAAUCUCCCGGCUUAACUGGGAGGGUGCGGCGGGAACUAGUGUGCUAGAGGGUGGGAGAGGUAAGCGGAAUUCCUGGUGUAGCGGUGAAAUGCGUAGAUAUCAGGAGGAACACCUGUGGUGUAGACAGCUUACUGGACCACUUCUGACGCUGAGACACGAAAGCGUGGGUAGCAAACAGGAUUAGAUACCCUGGUAGUCCACGCCCUAAACGAUGCAUACUUGGUGUGAGCCAUUCAUUUGGUUCGUGCCGGAGCUAACGCGUUAAAUAUGCCGCCUGGGGAGUACAGUCGCAAGGCUG